Molecule: non-coding RNA, 853 nt
Organism: Pelobates cultripes (western spadefoot toad)
Lineage: Eukaryota; Metazoa; Chordata; Amphibia; Anura; Pelobatidae
Source: the annotation of a GenBank genome assembly
CUUGAAGCUUGAGGGUGGAAUCCUAAAAAUUCUAAGUAAAUGUUUUACUAAAUUUUGAGGGAAACAAAUCUGCAUUACUUCAGUGCAUAAACUUUACUCUCUAUAACUGGAUAGACAUUAUUCUCCAUUGCAACUUUGUGUGCUUUAACAGCCCCAAAACACCACCCUCCCCCCUUUAUUAUUGUGCUACAAUAUAUUAAAACAAGAAUCAGGUACUCACUUUGUGCAUUAACAGGUUGCUCGGGUUUAGAUUUGGGUUUAUGGCUCAUUGUACUAGGCCUGAGAUGCCAUACAGAAUGUCCAUGUGAAACCAUAUGUCAGUGUAGUUUAAUAUGAAAUCAAUCAUAUCUAUGUUUUAUGCAUCUGUAAACACAAAGCAUAGACGGAGAGAUUUACACAAACCUUCAACGUUUACUGGUCAUGAUAAUUUUUUUAGUUGCAUAGCAACAUGGAAUGGUAUAGUUGUCAUUCAAGAUAUCCGACUUGUUUACAUCACAACUGCCACAGAUAAAACCUGAAAAAUAUAUAUGUACGCCUCCCCCAAACACAUCAGUUUAAAAAUAUAAGGGGCAGAACAGGACCAAAGCAGAGCUUUUAAUGCAUGGGCAAAAAUGCUGGAUUUUAUGUAACACCGUAACCUCUAUAUCUUUUAUAAUUGCCUCAUUAUACAUUUGAAAAAUAGUUACUUGCCUUCUACAAUAUUUAAUGGGUGCUCUAAGCGGCAAAGAUCACAAUCUGUAAAAACAUUUAUGUUGAUUUGUUUUUGUUUAUAAACCGCUUUGCCAUUUGCUAGACAAUGGAGUGUAUUUACUAAACUGUGAAGAAUUGACAGGAGAAUUGCAACUUUUAGGAC